This is a long non-coding RNA of Solanum tuberosum (potato), 909 nucleotides long. RefSeq lists it as uncharacterized. The record is from RefSeq and is a predicted model, not a curated record. Lineage: Eukaryota; Viridiplantae; Streptophyta; Magnoliopsida; Solanales; Solanaceae. The transcript has 2 exons.
AACCUAAGCCUGUCUUGCAACUCAACUCCCUCACCCAGAGAAUCCGCCAGAUUUUACGCUCAGAUCUGCCACCCCUAUCAAUCAUCUGUGAACAUAAAUAGUGCCCUAGCUUCUCUAAAAUGACUGAAUUCAAACGUUCACAUUUUCAAAUCUUUUGAAAACAACAAAUACAAUUAAAAAUCUGCGAUUCAGAUUCAAAUGUUAGGUUUAUACAUUUAUUACUUCAUGUUCAUCUUAUCUUCGUUGCCUCUCAAUCUAUUCAAAGAAGUGACUUCUUGUUUUAUUGUUAUUUUUGAAUUCGAGCAACCCAUAUUUCAAACUAGAUGAGCCCUGGUUUUUCACUAUAAAUAGGACUCUUAAACUUUCUCAACAGACAGAGAUUUGGACAUCAAAAAGUCUUUUCUACAACCUUAAGCUUAGAGCUUCUAUAUUCUGAGUUUCUUUUGACUAAAGUUCUUUGCUACGUCCUUUGGAAAAUCUGUCUGGAUCGAUAGCGGAGUUUAAGACUCAAAAGCACUAAUUCGUUGCCCCUGAGAAGGAGAACUGGCGGGAUCUGUAACUUCCACCAUUGUGAAUUGAAUUCAGAGAUUUGAUGAACUUUCGACAACUACAACAAGAAAUCGAACAAAGGAAUGAACUACGAGAUCUAACAGGAGCGAAUUGACUCUGAUACCAUGAUGAAACUAUCGAUAUAACGAGCAAAUGAUAGCUAAGAUGACGAAAAACUGUGAAACUCCCUUGAAGGAGAAUAGAGAGAAUAUAUCAGAUUGUAUAUAGAAUAUGAAUGAAUAGUUGUGUAUUACAAUUGAGUAACAACUAUUUAUAAAACUGCUAUCUGUAACUAACUCUAAUUAUCAACAACUAACUAACUCUAACAAACUAUGGUGACGUGGACAAUAGAACCUUCCA